GUGCUCACUUAGGCAGCACAUAUACUAAAAUUGCAAUGAUACAGAGAAGAUUAGCAUGGCCCCUGUGCAAGGAUGACAUGCAACUUUGUAAAGCAUUGCAUAUUUUU
This is a small nuclear RNA of Perognathus longimembris pacificus (Pacific pocket mouse), 107 nucleotides long. The record is from RefSeq and is a predicted model, not a curated record. Lineage: Eukaryota; Metazoa; Chordata; Mammalia; Rodentia; Heteromyidae.